Molecule: ribosomal RNA, 253 nt
Filed under: uncultured prokaryote
Description: partial 16S ribosomal RNA
Rfam family: Bacterial small subunit ribosomal RNA
Source: RNAcentral
ACGUAGGAGACGAGCGUUAUCCGGAAUUACUGGGCGUAAAGCGCGAGUAGGCGGCUUUUUAAGUGGUCUGUGAAAGCGUCCGGCUCAACUGGACGAGGCCGGGUCAGACUGGAAGGCUAGAGGGUCAGAGAGGCAGGCGGAAUUCCGGGUGUAGUGGUGAAAUGCGUAGAGAUCCGGAGGAACACCAGUGGCGAAGGCGGGUUGCUGGGCUGACACUGACGCUGAGGCGCGAAAGCUAGGGGAGCGAACGGGA